CUACGGGUUGCAGCAGUGAGGAAUAUUGCACAAUGGGGGGAACCCUGAUGCAGCAACGCCGCGUGGAGGAUGACGCAUUUCGGUGUGUAAACUCCUUUUAUAUGUCAAGAAAAUGACGGUAGCAUAUGAAUAAGCACCGGCUAACUCCGUGCCAGCAGCCGCGGUAAUACGGAGGGUGCAAGCGUUACUCGGAAUCACUGGGCGUAAAGGACGCGUAGGCGGGUUGGAAAGUCAGGUGUGAAAUCCUACAGCUUAACUGUAGAACUGCACUUGAAACUUCUAAUCUAGAGUAUGGGAGGGGGAGAUGGAAUUAGUGGUGUAGGGGUAACAUCCGUAGAUAUCACUAGGAAUACCUAAAGCGAAGGCGAUCUCCUGGAACAUUACUGACGCUAAAGCGUGAAAGCGUGGGGAGCAAACAGGAUUAGAUACCCGGGUAGUC
RNAcentral lists this ribosomal RNA (439 nucleotides) under uncultured bacterium. Its description in RNAcentral is "partial 16S ribosomal RNA". It matches the Rfam family "Bacterial small subunit ribosomal RNA", at positions 339 to 795 of the family's 1533-position model. The record is from RNAcentral.